UACGAAGGGGGCUAGCGUUGCUCGGAAUCACUGGGCGUAAAGCGCACGUAGGCGGAUUGCUAAGCCAGGGGUGAAAUCCUGGAGCUCAACUCCAGAACUGCCCUUGAUACUGGCGGUCUCGAGUCCGGGAGAGGUGAGUGGAACUGCGAGUGUAGAGGUGAAAUUCGUAGAUAUUCGCAAGAACACCAGUGGCGAAGGCGGCUCACUGGCCCGGUACUGACGCUGAGACGCGAAAGCGUGGGGAGCAAACAGG
RNAcentral lists this ribosomal RNA (253 nucleotides) under uncultured bacterium. RNAcentral's name for it is "partial 16S ribosomal RNA". It matches the Rfam family "Bacterial small subunit ribosomal RNA", at positions 524 to 776 of the family's 1533-position model. The record is from RNAcentral.